RNAcentral lists this ribosomal RNA (406 nucleotides) under uncultured bacterium. RNAcentral describes it as "partial 16S ribosomal RNA". It matches the Rfam family "Bacterial small subunit ribosomal RNA", at positions 30 to 526 of the family's 1533-position model. The record is from RNAcentral.
AUUGAACGCUGGCGGCAGGCCUAACACAUGCAAGUCGAACGAGUGGCGGACGGGUGAGUAAUGUCUGGGAAACUGCCUGAUGGAGGGGGAUAACUACUGGAAACGGUAGCUAAUACCGCAUACCAUCAGAUGUGCCCAGAUGGGAGUGGCUUGUUGGUGGGGUAACGGCUCACCAAGGCGACGAUCCCUAGCUGGUCUGAGAGGAUGACCAGCACAGCUGGAACUGGACCACGGUCCAGACUCCUACGGGCGGAAGCAGUGGGGAAUAUUGCACAAUGGGCGCAAGCCUGAUGCAGCCAUGCCGCGUGUAUGAAGAAGGCUUUCGGGUUGUAAAGUACUUUCAGCGGGGAGGCGUUACCCGCAGAAUAAGCACCGGCUAACUCCGUGCCAGCCGCCGCGGUAAUAC